This 353-nucleotide ribosomal RNA is filed under the name uncultured bacterium. RNAcentral's name for it is "bacterial SSU rRNA". It matches the Rfam family "Bacterial small subunit ribosomal RNA", at positions 8 to 350 of the family's 1533-position model. The record is from RNAcentral.
AGAGUUUGAUCAUGGCUCAGGAUGAACGCUAGCUACAGGCUUAACACAUGCAAGUCGAGGGGAAACGACAUCGAAAGCUUGCUUUUGAUGGGCGUCGACCGGCGCACGGGUGAGUAACGCGUAUCCAACCUGCCCACCACUUGGGGAUAACCUUGCGAAAGUAAGACUAAUACCCAAUGAUAUCUCUAGAAGACAUCUGAAAGAGAUUAAAGAUUUAUCGGUGAUGGAUGGGGAUGCGUCUGAUUAGCUUGUUGGCGGGGUAACGGGCCCACCAAGGCUACGAUCAGUAGGGGUUCUGGAGAGGAAGGUCCCCCACAUUGGAACUGAGACACGGUCCAAACUCCUAGGAGGCA